RNAcentral lists this unclassified non-coding RNA (334 nucleotides) under uncultured fungus. Its description in RNAcentral is "partial contains 5.8S ribosomal RNA and internal transcribed spacer 2". The stretch from base 1 to 133 matches the Rfam family "5.8S ribosomal RNA", at positions 22 to 154 of the family's 154-position model. The record is from RNAcentral. Lineage: Eukaryota; Fungi.
UGGUUCUGGCAUCGAUGAAGAACGCAGCGAAAUGCGAUAAGUAAUGUGAAUUGCAGAAUUCAGUGAAUCAUCGAAUCUUUGAACGCACAUUGCGCCCGCCAGCAUUCUGGCGGGCAUGCCUGUUCGAGCGUCAUUUCAACCCUCGAGCCCCCCCCGGGGGGCCCGGCGUUGGGGACCGGCAAUCUCGCUGGCCGGCCCUGAAAUUCAGUGGCGGCCCGUCCGCGGCGACCUCUGCGUAGUAGUCAUACACCGCACCGGAAACCCGACGUGGCCACGCCGUAAAACACCCCAACCUCUGAACGUUGACCUCGGAUCAGGUAGGACUACCCGCUGA